Anopheles arabiensis is the source of this 265-nucleotide long non-coding RNA. RefSeq lists it as uncharacterized. The record is from RefSeq and is a predicted model, not a curated record. The transcript has 2 exons. NCBI's taxonomy places the organism in Eukaryota, Metazoa, Arthropoda, Insecta, Diptera, Culicidae.
GCCCAGCCGGGGUUUUUCGUGCCAGCCCGUAGACGUCGGCCGUGCUUCGGUCGCGGACGAAACUUUACGAAGGAUUGUGGCCCCGGUCCAAGGGCGUAUAGGGUGAAAAACUUUGUUAUGGCAAAGCCUCCAGCUUCUCCUCCAGCUUCUCCUCCACCUCCACCUCCAGUCACACCAAAACCACCCCGCAGAAAACCCUAAAACACCGCUAAUGGGUUAAGCAUUUUCCUCUGGCCGAAAUAGAUAAACUUACGGUUGAAGCUUG